RNAcentral lists this transfer RNA (67 nucleotides) under Marmota monax (woodchuck). Its description in RNAcentral is "tRNA.Ala". Lineage: Eukaryota; Metazoa; Chordata; Mammalia; Rodentia; Sciuridae. The record is from RNAcentral.
GGUUAUGGCUCAGCGGUAGAGUGCUCACCUAGCACGAGCGAGGUGCUGGGUUCGAUCCUCAGCACCA